CAACUGUGGUUUGUGCUCCUUGUCGCCAAAUGAAGAAAGCGACGACUCUGUGUGCGUUAUAAUACACUUUAUUAUCCACAAGGGAAAUGUUGUUUAUCUCGUCUUGACACCGCUGAUGGAGUCGUCCAGGUUACGAGUUAUCACGCUCUCGCCACUUAAGAUCCAAACGACAGCAAGCGUCAGGAGUGAGUACGGCCCUAUGAUUUCGGCGAUGCAGAAAACGGACAGAAUGUCGGAAUUUGCCAGAUGUUGGAUGGAUAAAACAAGGGCCCUAUGAUUUCGGGGAUGAAAAACGGGGAAGGAAUCUCUGAAUUUGCCAAAUUUUGGAUGGAUAAAACAAAAGGGCCCUAAAUAUUUCUGCGACGCGGCAAACAGGGACAGAAUUGUGGAAUUUGCCGAAUUUUGGAUGGAUAAAACAAACGGGGAUUGUGGUAUGCCAGCGGAGGGCAUGUGUGAACGGAGAGGGCAGGGGAACAUGAAUAGGUCUGCUCUGCUGGGAUUGGCACUCCCCGGCUCUGCGGUGGAAUAAAAGCGACGGUGAGGAUUAGAGGAGAGUUCCUCAGCUUGCGGGAUAAGCUGAUCUUCCACACUUCAGAAAUCCACAAACAGCGUUGUGCAAACCCAUUUGAAACCUUCCAGGUUGGCCUACAAACUGACGUCACGACUGAACAGAUCUCUGAAGCUGCCACACAGAUUGCUGGGAUUGACCUAACAGAGUCAUGCUCAUGUGACGGAGGUUUACUUCAGAUAUCCUACCUGUAUCCUUUCUGACUCAUGUUUUAUGAAUAGGCUUUGGAAAAAUAUACAACACACUUUGCUUUUCUUUUUUUCCCCCCCAGUCACAGUCUUCAAAGUUUCCUUUACGAUAACCAAAAACCAUUAGCUGCUGUCAAACCCAGGAGAAGAGAGAUUAUUUUUUUUAUUGAAAUAAGAUUAAAAUGAUAACUUUGACUGCGGCCUCCACCUGAUAAAAUAUUUCAGCUCAUAAGCGUGGUGUAGGCACAGGGAUUAGAGCAGAGGGAGAGAGAGAAAUUCAUAAUGUAUAAUAAGACAAAAGGUGUCAUGGGAAAUAACACUGAUAUUAAAAUUAGAAAAUGACGCAAUCUAUAUGAAAAAUGCAGAUUUAAAAAUGUAAAUGAUGAUCUAGGAUUUCUUAGAACAAAAGUAUCAGAAAAGUAAGAGCCGUAGAGAUGUCAAAUGGCUUGCUGGUCUGUGACCUUUCUGUGUGUUUUAACUUUAAUGAUUAGAAGAGAUGGUGUAAUAUAUGGAAUACUUGUACUUUCAAAAAUGUAUUUAUCACAUCGUAAAAUGAAAUUAAAUGAACUAGUGCAGGCAAAACAAUGAUAAAAAUGAUAAAGAAGCAAACGCAAAAGGUGACCAUACUCUUUCCUUUAAGCAUACUGAAUAUGCACAUUUUAACCAAGCAUACUGAUCACAAGUCUAAGGGGAUCUAAGCU
Labeo rohita (rohu) is the source of this 1457-nucleotide long non-coding RNA. RefSeq lists it as uncharacterized. The transcript has 7 exons. The record is from RefSeq and is a predicted model, not a curated record. Lineage: Eukaryota; Metazoa; Chordata; Actinopteri; Cypriniformes; Cyprinidae.